Molecule: long non-coding RNA, 839 nt
Filed under: Medicago truncatula (barrel medic)
Lineage: Eukaryota; Viridiplantae; Streptophyta; Magnoliopsida; Fabales; Fabaceae
Description: lncRNA gene4538
Source: RNAcentral
CCACACCUGAACCGGCAAAGUCGAUUACACCAGACCCAAAUAAAACAUCACCGUCGGUUCGUGUUGGGCUGGCCCAACCAUCAGCGGACCAAACCCAAUGCGAAACGAUGGGAUAAACAAAACCGGUUAAGAAAGAAGAAUAUAUGAGAUAGGCGACAAAUUGAGUUCUCUCUGCAAUGGAGCCGCUGGUGAUACCGGCAGCAGCGAUGGCGAAGGCCCACUGGUAGAGGAAGAAGCUGUAGUCACCGGAAGGUGAAGGAUAAUCCCUUAGACCGAAAAAGUGGCGGCCAAUGAAGCCGUUGGAGGGUGCUCCAAAGGCGAAAGCAAAGCCGAAGAGAUAGUAGGAGAGGCCACCGGCUGCAGCGUCAAGGACAUUGGUGAGCAUGAUGUUCAUAGUGUUUUUGGCUCGAACGGAGCCAGCGCAGAGCAUAGCGAAACCAAGCUGCAUGGCAAAGACUAAAUAAGCUGAGAAGAGAAGGUAGGUGUUGUCUAUUGCAUAAGUGGUGUCGCUGAGUUUAUUUGAGAUGGUGUUGAAUUGGGUGCAUAGGUAGUCAGCUACAGCGGUAGCGUUUGCAGCGGUGGUGAGGAGUGGAGCGAAGUCUGUGGCUGAGCAAGAUAGAGAAGCCAUAUCUGUUGUACAGUGAGUGUAGAAAUGGACACAAGUGAUGAGUAUAAUGUAAUAUUUAAAGUGAAUAUUGAACAGAUAUGGAGUAGAAGCUAGCUAUUCUAUACCAUCCAUUUUAUAAUAAUAGAGUAGGAUCACACUGAUGGUUUAAAGUUUUUAUCUCUUUAUAGCCUUAACUAUAUUUUGUGGUUAUUUUUGUUUUGUUUUUUUGUGC